RNAcentral lists this ribosomal RNA (253 nucleotides) under uncultured bacterium. RNAcentral's name for it is "partial 16S ribosomal RNA". It matches the Rfam family "Bacterial small subunit ribosomal RNA", at positions 524 to 776 of the family's 1533-position model. The record is from RNAcentral.
UACGUAGGGGGCUAGCGUUGUCCGGAUUUAUUGGGCGUAAAGAGCGUGUAGGCGGCCAGGUAGGUCCGUUGUGAAAACUCGAGGCUCAACCUCGAGACGUCGGCGGAAACCCUCUGGCUAGAGUCCGGAAGAGGAGAGUGGAAUUCCUGGUGUAGCGGUGAAAUGCGCAGAUAUCAGGAAGAACACCCGUGGCGAAGGCGGCUCUCUGGGACGGCACUGACGCUGAGACGCGAAAGCGUGGGGAGCGAACAGG